CAAAUUAUCUCUCAAAGCAUAUAUAGCUAUGAGGAUCUUCAUGAAGAAACUCACAUCUGUUGACAUUGAGAGACAUUUGGAGUUGCCGAACGAUACAAGAAGAGAAGCUUUGCCACCUUUCCAAGGCGCACGGGAAAUCGUGAUUCCAAUCAUGUUUGUGGAAGCUGAAAUGACGAAAGUUGAUGUUCACUGCUCCUGCAGAUCAGGAAGGCUAGAAUUUAGAAAAGGCUGGAUUGAAAUCGCUAGCCGUAUGAAUCUCAACGCUGGUGAUGUCGUUACCUUGCACUGGGAAGCCCAAGGUGGGUACAAAAUGAGAGUGAGAAGAAGUGCAAGUCGCGCCUAAAAAAAGAGAAGGAGCCCUUUGUUUUUUGUUUUCGUUUAUUUUUGUAUUUUCCAAGUUCUUUAUAUUUCGCUUCUUCUGUGUUUUUGCUCGUGCUCUGUCGACUACGUACGGAUCAUGUUUUUCUUCUCACAAAAUAAUCAUUUCAUUUUAUAAUUCUGCUAAA
Long non-coding RNA from Populus trichocarpa (black cottonwood), 506 nucleotides. RefSeq lists it as uncharacterized. The record is from RefSeq and is a predicted model, not a curated record. The transcript has 2 exons. Lineage: Eukaryota; Viridiplantae; Streptophyta; Magnoliopsida; Malpighiales; Salicaceae.